AUGAUUCACCUUCAAGUAGCAUCAGUAAAAAUUCUUUUGGAUGCUUUCAAAGGAGAUCAUCGUUCUGAAGAACUUUCAACUUUUAUUUGCAACAGCCGCUCUGGAUUAGCAUCUGGAUUUCACUUCUGGUGUUCUGUGUAUGCUACCACUACAGAAUUCCCUAUUGCAGCACCUUCUCUUAACAUCACUCCCAAAACGUAUAGACACAUAAUUAUGUGUCUGCAUUUUAAUGAACCCUUGUAGCUGUAUUUGAAUGCUUUAAAAUCACUGUAUAGCAGAGUUAUAAAAGCAUUAAGGUUUUUUUUUUUCAUGCAGUGUAAGGUAGAUAUGUUUUUCAUAUGCUAGAAAAGCUAGUACCUUUCUGGGCAGUAUGACAGUAUUAUAUAUGAAUUAGAGCUACUUCUGGAUCAUCUGCUCAAGUUCCACUGUGACCUCUUAGUGUUUAUUAAAUAAAUAGUUAUUGAUAAAUUUUUAAGAUCUUGAA
This 484-nucleotide long non-coding RNA is filed under the name Struthio camelus australis. Its description in RNAcentral is "lncRNA (ENSSCUG00000003008.1)". Lineage: Eukaryota; Metazoa; Chordata; Aves; Struthioniformes; Struthionidae. The record is from RNAcentral.